UACGUAGGGGGCAAGCGUUGUCCGGAAUCAUUGGGCGUAAAGAGCGUGUAGGCGGCUCGGUAAGUCCGCUGUGAAAGUCCAGGGCUCAACCCUGGAAUGCCAGUGGAAACUGUCGAGCUAGAGUCCGGAAGAGGCGAGUGGAAUUCCUGGUGUAGCGGUGAAAUGCGCAGAUAUCAGGAGGAACACCAAUGGCGAGGGCAGCUCGCUGGGACGGUACUGACGCUGAGACGCGAAAGCGUGGGGAGCAAACAGG
Molecule: ribosomal RNA, 253 nt
Filed under: uncultured bacterium
Lineage: Bacteria
Description: partial 16S ribosomal RNA
Rfam family: Bacterial small subunit ribosomal RNA
Source: RNAcentral